RNAcentral lists this long non-coding RNA (420 nucleotides) under Sus scrofa (pig). RNAcentral's name for it is "lncRNA (ENSSSCG00015040463.1, ENSSSCG00025039051.1, ENSSSCG00055026645.1)". The record is from RNAcentral. Lineage: Eukaryota; Metazoa; Chordata; Mammalia; Artiodactyla; Suidae.
AUUGCUCUCCCUCAAGGUCUGAAAGAAGGAUGAUGAAAAGUUUAAGCAAUCACCAUGGAAACGUAGAGGAGAUACAAGGCGGGUUCAGAUCCCAGCACACUAACAGAUCAGUCUUCAGGUGCUGAGGUCCUGGUGGAAGGUGAAUUCUGACUAUUCACUGUGGCUUCCAGAAUCAGGGCUGACCCAGAGGCCACAUCCACAGUCAUGGGCUCAGAGCAUCCCAGGGGCUCAGCAGUGAGUUUCCUCAGCAUGGCAGAAGCCCACAGAUCUGCUGUCACAAAGUGGAACCCUGCUCAGGUCUGCAGGAGAAAAGACAUUCGAAGCCCAGCCUGGUCUUUCUCUGGUCUUGACCAAGAUGUGUUCCCUUUCAUGUCUGUGAAUAACCAAAAGAAGCAAGAGGUUCCUGCCUCCCAUCACUGA